AAUAGAAUAAAAACUAUUAAAUAAAAUAUUGCAUAAAUUUAUAAUUCAGUUAUUCAAAAUAACUAUAUUAAUAUACAAAAGAUUUUUAUAUUGCAAGAUGCUAAAGCUGACAAUAAAGUUAUAAAGUUUUUCAAAAGAUAGAUAGAGACAAACAUACUUCCUACAAUUCUAUGUCUAUAUAUAUAGUUGUAUUCUCAUUUUUAUAUUGAGCAAAAUCUUAUUUCUCCA
RNAcentral lists this long non-coding RNA (228 nucleotides) under Vigna radiata. RNAcentral describes it as "long non-coding RNA (VRAD_LNC015956)". The record is from RNAcentral. Lineage: Eukaryota; Viridiplantae; Streptophyta; Magnoliopsida; Fabales; Fabaceae.